RNAcentral lists this ribosomal RNA (2896 nucleotides) under Clostridioides difficile. Its description in RNAcentral is "bacterial LSU rRNA". It matches the Rfam family "Bacterial large subunit ribosomal RNA". The record is from RNAcentral. Lineage: Bacteria; Bacillati; Bacillota; Clostridia; Peptostreptococcales; Peptostreptococcaceae.
UCAAGUUAUUAAGGGUGCAGGGCGGAUGCCUUGGCACUAGGAGCCGAUGAAGGACGUGAUAAGCUGCGAUAAGCUUCGGGGAGUUGCACGUAAACUUUGAUCCGAAGAUUUCCGAAUGAGGAAACUCACUUAGAGUAAUGUCUAAGUAUCAUUAAGUGAAUACAUAGCUUAAUGAGGGGAACUCAGGGAACUGAAACAUCUAAGUACCUGAAGGAAGAGAAAGAAAUUCGAUUCCGUAAGUAGCGGCGAGCGAACGCGGAUUAGCCCAAACCAAUAAAGUUUUCUUUAUUGGGGUUGCGGACAUAUCAUAACGAAGAGGUAUCGUAAUUGAAGAGGUUUGGAAAGACCCACCACAGAAGGUAAUAGUCCUGUAUGUUAAACGAGAAGACUUCAGAUAUGAUCCAGAGUACCACGGGACACGUGAAACCCUGUGGGAAGCAGGAGGGACCACCCUCCAAGGCUAAAUACUACCUAGUGACCGAUAGCGUAUAGUACCGUGAGGGAAAGGUGAAAAGAACCCCGGGAGGGGAGUGAAAUAGAACCUGAAACCCUGCACUUACAAGCUGUGGAAGCACAUUUCUUGUGUGACCGCGUACUUUUUGUAGAACGGGCCAACGAGUUACGUUAAGUAGCAAGGUUAAGCACUUAAGGUGCGGAGCCGUAGCGAAAGCGAGUUUUAACUGAGCGUUCAGUUACUUGACGUAGACCCGAAACCGGGCGACCUACCCAUGAGCAGGAUGAAGCGAAAGUAAAAUUUCGUGGAGGUCCGAACCCACGAGCGUUGAAAAGCUCGGGGAUGACUUGUGGGUAGCGGUGAAAUUCCAAUCGAGCCCGGAGAUAGCUGGUUCUCCCCGAAAUAGCUUUAGGGCUAGCCUCAAGGUGAGAGAUACGGAGGUAGAGCACUGAAUGUCCUAGGGGGUAUUGCACCUACCGAAGACUAUCAAACUCCGAAUGCCGUCAUCUUAUACUUGGGAGUCAGACUGUGGGUGAUAAGAUUCAUAGUCGAAAGGGCAACAGCCCAGAUCGUCAGCUAAGGUCCCUAAAUGUAAGUUAAGUGGUAAAGGAUGUGGGAUUGCACAGACAACCAGGAUGUUGGCUUAGAAGCAGCCACUCAUUCAAAGAGUGCGUAAUAGCUCACUGGUCGAGUGAUCCUGCGCCGAAGAUUUCCGGGGCUAAAACUUACUACCGAAGCUACGGCAUCAGUAAUGAUGGGUAGGGGAGCUUCCCAUACGGGUUGAAGCAUGACCGUAAGGACAUGUGGACAGUAUGGGAGUGAGAAUGUUGGCAUGAGUAGCGAGAUGUGGGUGAGAAUCCCACAGGCCGUAAACCCAAGGUUUCCAGGGGAAGGUUCGUCCGCCCUGGGUUAGUCGGGACCUAAGCUGAGGCCGAAAGGCGUAGGUGAUGGACAACAGGUUGAUAUUCCUGUACUACCGAUAACCGUUUGAGAGAAGGGAUGACACAGUAGGAUAAGCUAAGCACACUGUUGGUUAUGUGUGCCCAAGCAUUGAGGCAGUCAAAGUAGGCAAAUCCGCUUUGAUAAUGCUGGGAUGUGAUGGGGAGCGAAAUUUAGUAGCGAAGUAGCUGAUUUCACACUGUCAAGAAAAGUCUCUAUCGAGGUUAAAGGUACCCGUACCGCAAACCGACACAGGUGGGUGAGGAGAGUAUCCUAAGGCCAGCGAGAGAACUGUUGUUAAGGAACUCGGCAAAAUGACCCCGUAACUUAGGGAUAAGGGGUGCCACCAUCAGGUGGCCGCAGAGAAUAGGCCCAAGCGACUGUUUACCAAAAACAUAGGUUUCUGCUAAGUCGCAAGACGAUGUAUAGGAGCUGACGCCUGCCCGGUGCUGGAAGGUUAAGGGGAUCUGUUAGAGCAAUCGAAGCAGUGAACUUAAGCCCCAGUAAACGGCGGCCGUAACUAUAACGGUCCUAAGGUAGCGAAAUUCCUUGUCGGGUAAGUUCCGACCCGCACGAAAGGCGUAACGAUUUGGGCACUGUCUCAACAACAGACUCGGUGAAAUUGUAAUUCCGGUGAAGAUGCCGGAUACCUGCGACAGGACGGAAAGACCCCAUGGAGCUUUACUGUAGCUUGACAUUGGGUCUUGGUACUACAUGUACAGGAUAGGUGGGAGGCUUUGAAACCAGGACGCCAGUUUUGGCGGAGCCAUCCUUGGGAUACCACCCUUGUAGUACUGGGACUCUAACCAUAGGCCAUGAAUCUGGUCUUGGGACACUGUCAGGUGGGCAGUUUGACUGGGGCGGUCGCCUCCCAAAAGGUAACGGAGGCGCUCAAAGGUUCUCUCAGUACGGUCGGAAAUCGUACGUAGAGUGUAAAGGCAAAAGAGAGCUUGAUUGCAAGACAUACAGGUCGAGCAAGGAUGAAAAUCGGACUUAGUGAUCCGGUGGUUCUGCGUGGAAGGGCCAUCGCUCAACGGAUAAAAGCUACCCUGGGGAUAACAGGCUUAUCUCCCCCAAGAGUCCACAUCGACGGGGAGGUUUGGCACCUCGAUGUCGGCUCAUCACAUCCUGGGGCUGUAGUAGGUCCCAAGGGUUGGGCUGUUCGCCCAUUAAAGUGGUACGCGAGCUGGGUUCAGAACGUCGUGAGACAGUUCGGUCCCUAUCCGUCGCAGGCGUAGGAAAUUUGAGAAGACCUGUCCUUAGUACGAGAGGACCGGGAUGGACGUACCUCUGGUGUACCAGUUGUCCUGCCAAGGGCAUGGCUGGGUAGCUAUGUACGGAAUGGAUAAGCGCUGAAAGCAUCUAAGCGCGAAGCCAACUUCAAGAUAAGAUUUCCCACCGCAAGGGUAAGACCCCAGAAAGACUAUCUGGUUGAUAGGUCGAAGGUGUAAGUGCAGUAAUGUAUUUAGCUUAUCGAUACUAAUAGGUCGAGGACUUGACCAA